AAGACUUAGGAGAAACAUGUGUUGAUGUCUCCCAAUGUAGUGACACAAAUACAAUAUGUAGCUCUACCUGUCAGUGUAAAGAUGGCUAUUAUGAUACAACUGGUACUGGAAAUAUUGGAGGACAGUGUAAUACAAAGAAAGACCUAGGACAAACAUGUGUUGAUGUCUCCCAAUGUAGUGACACAAAUACAAUAUGUAGCUCUACCUGUCAGUGUAAAGAUGGCUAUUAUGAUACAACUGGUACUGGAAAUAUUGGAGGACAGUGUAAUUCGAAAACUUUGUCAGACCCACCAAAGAAUCUGGAAAUAACGGGUGUAAGAAGUCGUGGUUUUAACAUUUCGUGGGAAGAGCCUGAAGCAAUAUACAAUGACGAGAACUAUGGCUAUAUUCUGCAGAUAAGAGAUGAUAAGAGCAUUUGUGUGAAAGAGACCCUGUAUAGAUGCUCGGACUGUAUCGGUAGUUU
Long non-coding RNA from Mercenaria mercenaria, 463 nucleotides. RefSeq lists it as uncharacterized. The transcript has 3 exons. The record is from RefSeq and is a predicted model, not a curated record. NCBI's taxonomy places the organism in Eukaryota, Metazoa, Mollusca, Bivalvia, Venerida, Veneridae.